RNAcentral lists this ribosomal RNA (405 nucleotides) under Pseudomonas sp. R-45532. RNAcentral describes it as "bacterial SSU rRNA". It matches the Rfam family "Bacterial small subunit ribosomal RNA", at positions 20 to 427 of the family's 1533-position model. Lineage: Bacteria; Pseudomonadati; Pseudomonadota; Gammaproteobacteria; Pseudomonadales; Pseudomonadaceae. The record is from RNAcentral.
UGGCUCAGAUUGAACGCUGGCGGCAGGCCUAACACAUGCAAGUCGAGCGGUAGAGAGGUGCUUGCACCUCUUGAGAGCGGCGGACGGGUGAGUAAUGCCUAGGAAUCUGCCUGGUAGUGGGGGAUAACGCUCGGAAACGGACGCUAAUACCGCAUACGUCCUACGGGAGAAAGCAGGGGACCUUCGGGCCUUGCGCUAUCAGAUGAGCCUAGGUCGGAUUAGCUAGUUGGUGGGGUAAUGGCUCACCAAGGCGACGAUCCGUAACUGGUCUGAGAGGAUGAUCAGUCACACUGGAACUGAGACACGGUCCAGACUCCUACGGGAGGCAGCAGUGGGGAAUAUUGGACAAUGGGCGAAAGCCUGAUCCAGCCAUGCCGCGUGUGUGAAGAAGGUCUUCGGAUUGUA